UGGAUCAAUGAUCAGAAGUUGAGCUGCCCUG
This 31-nucleotide non-coding RNA is filed under the name Mus musculus (house mouse). Lineage: Eukaryota; Metazoa; Chordata; Mammalia; Rodentia; Muridae. The record is from RNAcentral.